CUAGACAACCAGAAACAUAAAUUAGUGUCGAAUUCAAUCAAACACGCGCCGAUGGAAUCAAUUAUAUAUGGUCGAUCGAGCAACGUUAAUGGAUUUUAAUCGAGUUAUUUUAUGAAUAUGCAGCAAGUACACACAACAUACAGACCAUCCCUUCGCCUAAGCUGACUUCACUUUGUGACAUUAGCCUAUCAGCCUGCAACCAGCAACGGACAACGGGCAACACACGCACGAACCAUUCGCAAAAUGGCCAACGCUGCCAAGUUGGCAGGCGCAGCAGUAACACAUUUGAAUACAUUUCAAAUAUAUACUAAUUAUUUCUGCAAACAGAAUCAAAUAACACCGCAGUCAAUUAAAUUAGCAACAUUUUUAAAGAUUGAAAUAGUCAAAAUAAUAAAACAAAAAUUGUUUAUUAACCUAAACUGGUUGCAGAUAAUGAAAUGUCAAAACUUUUUUGACUCAUUGUUUAAAAACAUGACUUGCAAAAGUUAAUAUUUUUACUUCUAUGCAUCUAGUAUUAAAUUACGUACAUAUAUUUACUAAUAUUGCAAAGAUUACAGUUUUAUAUCAAAAGUUACAAGCAUUAACAGAUUAGUAAAUUUUUGUCAGCAUUUUUGCAGGUUAUGACCUUUUAUCACUUAUUUCAUUCAUUAUUAGACUAAAAUAAACCAAAUAAAACGAAAUAUAAACAUUUACCAUAAAUACAACGAGUAGAAAUGCAAUAAAGAACUUUUGAUUGAACAAAACUACAAAAGAAAAGCGGCAACAACGCCUCUACAAGCAAACAUUACACUCACACAUAUAAAUUGAAAAAAAACUUGCUAGCAUAUCAUUUAAAGCGCGGCGCGCUUUUAAACAAUUUCCUUUACAAACACCUAAAUAAACUAGAAGGCGAACGCAGCGCACACAUUCAGUCUUCACUAGCAGGCUGAUAAACGAACGUCACACGAAAAAUUUCCAUUGUAAGCAAUACAGUUGCAUUCAUUCACGCUUUACAUUCACACACCUUGAUUCAUCACACCACGUAUCAAGCAUUUCUAUAAUAAAUUCUCACCUGCGAUUUAGCUCGGGCGGAAGCACACUCCAAUCCGAUUCGAAAUACGGAUACAUCCUUUUGUGUAUCUCUCAAUUAAUAAUCAGUUAUGCGUUGAAACUAGUCAAUGAUUAGUAACAGAUGCGCCGUGUCAGAAAUUUUCUAUCAAUUACAUUAUCAAAGAUGUGAAGCGAGCUUGGAAAUGCACACAGUGUACGCAGGUACAUUGAUAAGGCUUAUCGCGAUACAUUUGUUACAUUUCACACGAUUUAUCUCGGUCUGACGUGUUUACCAUUUGACUGCCGUGCGUAUAAAAGGCACUAAAGAGAUUUCUACGUUAAUAAAAUGUUUGUUCUAUUUACAAAUUACUUGAAAUUAAAUAUUGUACAUAUUGUGAAGAGUGCAGUGUGUGUUUACAGUGUGUAUAAAUGUAUUUUUAUAUAAAUAAAUAUUGAUUUUCUUUAAGUA
Dalotia coriaria is the source of this 1498-nucleotide long non-coding RNA. RefSeq lists it as uncharacterized. The record is from RefSeq and is a predicted model, not a curated record. The transcript has 2 exons. NCBI's taxonomy places the organism in Eukaryota, Metazoa, Arthropoda, Insecta, Coleoptera, Staphylinidae.